Molecule: non-coding RNA, 22 nt
Filed under: Arabidopsis thaliana (thale cress)
Lineage: Eukaryota; Viridiplantae; Streptophyta; Magnoliopsida; Brassicales; Brassicaceae
Source: RNAcentral
UACGGAUUUACGUGUUUUGGCG